Molecule: ribosomal RNA, 405 nt
Filed under: Staphylococcus aureus
Lineage: Bacteria; Bacillati; Bacillota; Bacilli; Caryophanales; Staphylococcaceae
Description: partial 23S ribosomal RNA
Rfam family: Bacterial large subunit ribosomal RNA
Source: RNAcentral
UGUAGGACACUCUAUACGGAGUUACAAAGGACGACAUUAGACGAAUCAUCUGGAAAGAUGAAUCAAAGAAGGUAAUAAUCCUGUAGUCGAAAAUGUUGUCUCUCUUGAGUGGAUCCUGAGUACGACGGAGCACGUGAAAUUCCGUCGGAAUCUGGGAGGACCAUCUCCUAAGGCUAAAUACUCUCUAGUGACCGAUAGUGAACCAGUACCGUGAGGGAAAGGUGAAAAGCACCCCGGAAGGGGAGUGAAAUAGAACCUGAAACCGUGUGCUUACAAGUAGUCAGAGCCCGUUAAUGGGUGAUGGCGUGCCUUUUGUAGAAUGAACCGGCGAGUUACGAUUUGAUGCAAGGUUAAGCAGUAAAUGUGGAGCCGUAGCGAAAGCGAGUCUGAAUAGGGCGUUUAGUA